RNAcentral lists this long non-coding RNA (9357 nucleotides) under Panax ginseng (ginseng). RNAcentral's name for it is "long non-coding RNA (PGIN_LNC013602)". The record is from RNAcentral. Lineage: Eukaryota; Viridiplantae; Streptophyta; Magnoliopsida; Apiales; Araliaceae.
GACAAUAUCCACACCCAACUAAAUCCUCAUCACAAUUAUUGAUACAUCAUUUUACAAAAAUGGUGAGGACUACUAAACAACUUUCUAGAACUAUCAUUCCAUACCUCGACUCUUACUCGCUGCAUUCUCGCCUCCUGAGAAGAAAAAUGGAACAAAGAGGGAAAGGGUGAGCUCAACUAGCCCAGUAAAGAAUAUUAUGACUAAGAUAAUAUAGAACAAAUUAUCGUUAGUCUUUAACAGGUAAAAAUCUGAUAAAAUAUAAUAGACAACAAGUUUCAGAUCAAUAUUCGCAGCGGAAAUAAUAAUUCAUAGAAGAGUUACGUAGAGAAUGAAAUCUACUAUUAUCUAUGAAUUUAAAAGUCCAUCAUCAAUAUUUUAUCCCUGUAGCAUCAAUCAAUAUUCAUCUUGAAUCAAAUUUUCAUCUUUGNNNNNNNNNNNNNNNNNNNNNNNNNNNNNNNNNNNNNNNNNNNNNNNNNNNNNNNNNNNNNNNNNNNNNNNNNNNNNNNNNNNNNNNNNNNNNNNNNNNNACCGUAUUCGUGAAUAGUACCGUAUACGUGAAUAGUGUCGUAUACGUGAAUAGUAACCCCAACACUAAAAGACAAGAAUUUCACAAGAAAAAUACUCUCAAUAUUCCGGCGUAAUGAUAUUGAAAGAAAUAAUAUCAUUUAAAAAAUAAUAAUAUCCCUUACCUCGAAAGUGCUUCUAGCUGGAAUACUAAGUAUAGUGCUGAAGGGAACUUGUACCGUAUAACAACACUCAAAGUAUCAAAAUACUCACAAGAAUACGCUCAAUAUAUCGAGAGAGAAAGAGAGAGAAAGAGAGAGAAGAUUUCAGUUUCUGGUGUGAUUUUCAAUUCUAACCUAAGCACCCUAUUUAUAGGAAAAUGCUUAGAACACCAAAGCAGAAAAUUUAAUAUAAUAAUAAUAUAAUGAAAAAAUAUUCAAGCCCACCUCUAGAAAUUUGAAUUCAGCAUGUUGCACAUGUUAGUUAGCCCACAAAACCAAAAAAAACGUUUUUCUUAAUAAACAUAAUUAAAACUUCCAAAAAUCAAUUAUUUCGAAACUACGGAACUUCAAUAAUUCAUAAUAAAUAGCCCUUUUAUCAGAAAAAUUCAAACCACAUGUCCUUUCCAUAGGAAAUUCCAUUCUCUACAACUUUGUAGAAGAAAGUUUUUCCAAAUUCUAAAUAGAAAUUGACCGAAAUCCACAAACGGACGAUUUUAUAGGCUAUAAUCAAAUUUCAGUCAAAAAAUGGGGUCUACGAACAUGAAAAACAUGUUUUAAAUAUUUUUAGUAACAAAAAUACUCCUCCUCCACAUAUACUCAUAUAUCCCACAUUCAUUGUAAAAAUAUCACCAUUAUUAUAUUAUUAAAAUAUAAUAAUAUAUUUAAAUGAAUUAUUUUAUCAGAAAAAGAUAAAAUUUCAAUUUUCAACAAUUGUCACAUUAAAAAUUUUCUCCAUCUAUAUCCACAUAAAAUCAAUAUUUUCCUCAUCAUAUGAAUCAAUAAUUAAUUAUUCACAAAUAAUAUUACAGAAUCACAAUAUUGACAACCAGGCAGUUCCCAGAAAAGAGGGGGCUUUCCAAUAAGAAUUUCUCCUUACUGGCGCGCAAUUAGGUGACCAAACCUCUCCUUAGACAGAACUUUCUAGACAUUGCCAAUAAUGUUAUCCAAUAAUAUUAUUCAGAUAAUAUGAAUUAUUGCUUCGAUAAUCGAAAAUAUUGUGUAGUGACAAUUAUUGAAACAACAAUAAUAUAAAAUAUCAACACAGCAAUUAUUGAAUCAAUAAAAUAAAAUACUGAACAGUAAUUACUGUAAUAAUUAUUGAGUAGUGUCUUCUUACGUAAGAAUCAAUAAUUGAUGCAAUACCGUGUGCUACUGUGUUUUAACCACCGAGUAUUUCAACAGUAUUAACGGUAACAACUACGCCGUCAUUUAUAAACAACUUAUAUUUGUCGUUUUCUUCAUCCAAUCGUUUUCUGUUAUGGGGCCCACACAAGACUGCGACGUUGUACGAAUAUUCCCCGACAGCAAGAAUAUUCCACGACCAAACGAAUAUUCCACGACAACAAUGAAUAUUUUAUAACCACUUGUUUAUUUAAGAUAUUUGCGCAUUUUACCCAUAACUAACCACAUUAAUCAAAUUAACCCUUACUAUUUCAAAAUAAUAAAUAGAGGAAAUUUAAUUUUAUUUAAUAACAAGUUGGGGUCUUACAUUAUAUCUGGCUACCAACUCUGCUUCGACGAAUUCGAGUCAGCUGAUCCACAGUUCCACAAGAUUCUGACUCUUCUGAAGAAAGUUGGUCUUGAAGAAGCUCUGAGUACCAGCACAAGGAUCUACCCGAAGCUGGUGAAAGAUUUCUACAGCAAUGGAGUCUUUGAAGAUAACAUUAUCACUACAAAAGUCAAGGGGGAGCAGAUUAGACUCAAAGUUGAAGAUAUAAACCUAGCCCUAGGUUUUAAAUCAAAGGGACUCUCAUCUAUGAGUGUCAUCGACUUCCAUAAAGGUCUAAAGAAGAUGCACCACACGAAGUCUCAGAGUGUCAAGGGGUACAAGAAGAAAGAGUUUCCCCAGAAAUAUGAAUUUCUGGCUGACAUUGUUGGAAAGUGCAUCUGCUGUAAAAUCUCUGGCCAUGACCCUGUGAAUGAGGUCUAACUAAAGCUCAUGACAUCAAUCUGCUUCAGAAUUCAACUCAACUAUGGGGCUCUGCUCAUAGAUUUGAUUGGGGAGUGGAUGCUCAACUCAAAGAAAACAAAGAGCUCUGAAAAAAUGCUCUAUGGGAGGUACAUAAAUAUAAUCCUGCAAUCUACUUUGGGUGAAAAAAUUGGGGACAAAGAAGGAGAACCCAUCAAUCCAAACAAAAGAAUGACCCAGCAGUUGUUUCAAAACUGGAAAAGAAACCCUACAGAAAGCGUAAGGAUGAUGUCUGAAUCCAGUGGAAGGACUGGUGAAGCAAAGAUAUUUGGGCUACUAGGAAACAUGUCAGUUGUGAAAGUGAAAAAGAAGAAGACAAUCAAAAGGAACCCAUUGCUUCGACCAAAAAAAGCAAAGGUAUGAGGAAAUUGAAUGUUCAAGUAACAAAAGAGCCUCAAGGAUCAACCACUAAUGUGCCCCAAGAAAGUUCGAGCACUGAAAUUCUGAAGGAAAUGAAGAAGAAAAGCAGCAAUCUAAAGAGGAAGAAGACAGAGCCACCAUCUCUCAACUUCUUAAGAAGGGAAAAUGCAGCCACAAAAUAAAGAAGUCUUAACUCACCUUGAUCGUAGAGUCAUUACCAAUCGUAGAGUCCAGAAUUAUAAUCACUCCAGAGGUGGAUGCUGCAGCAGUAUCUCAACCCAAACCAACUGACAGAGUUGAAGCUGAAGAGAAUGCCAAGGCUGAGGCUCAAACCAGAAGGACAAAAAGAAAGCUUGUAAUGAAAUACAUUCUUGUCAAUGAAGAAGUCCUGAAGGAAGAAGAUAGAAGAAUAACUGUUGAACAAGUGCUUCCAGAAGCCUUUGAGGAGAAUAUAGCUCAUAUUGAGGGGGAGCUGCCUAAAGAACAAAUGAAUGAUCAUAUCAGAUUAAGGGGGAGCCUCUCGAAGUCCCUGUGCCAGAAAGUGCUACAGCUGAGGGGGAGAUGCAAGAAGAUGUGGUAAUGGAAGGUGUGGAAGCUAUGGAGGUAGAAAGGGCUAAAGAACAGGUAAGAAAUGAAGAAAUGUUUGAAGUGGUGGAAAUUUCCAAUGAAGAAAAUGAAGACAAAGAAGAUGAAGAGAUUGAUGAAGUUGAGAUAAUAGCAGUAGGCUAGGAUGGAUAUAGGAAAGCCAACUAUAAUCAUCUGUUCUCCUACUUACCAAUGAUGCCCUAUCAUAGAGCCCAAAUUCUCAACUCCUGGUAUCACAUGUUCUGGACCUUCAAAGCUUAUCCAGCAAUCUCAGUUCUAGCUCAUGAAUUUCCAAGCAACCUCACUUUUGCUCAAAAGAUGAUCACUAACCAUCAUUCUUCAAAAACUGGGCGUGAGGUAUAAUCAAUUCCCAUCUCUUUCAGAGUUAGUCACUGUCCUCCAUCAAACUUCAACCAAUUCUAUGAAUUGCCAAGAUGGUUGGAAGUGAUUCUUCAUCCCCUAAACCAAUUUCCAGCUACAGAAUCCUAAAAUUUUGUAACUAAUGAACCAAAUAUGCCUAACUUCAUAUUAAUAUAGUCUUCAACCAUUUCUUACUCUACGAAUAUCGAUCAUACUCAAAUCGUAGAGUCACCUACCCAACCAGCUUCAACAGCCUCUCCUCACAUAACUCAAACCCCCCAUACAUGCACCUCCUUUGAACAUUCCUUCCUCCUCAACCAAUAAUUAUUUUGAUCUUGCUCUUGUUCUCUCAAACCUGCAAAACCAAAAUACAAGAGCCUCUUCUCCAUGCACUCAACAAAUACUUGAGCUUCUCUCAGAUAUUCCCACCAAAUCUGAGCUGUCUAGUGCAUCACAGAAAGUAACUACAGAUAUUCAAGAAGAUCUUGAAACUCACUCUCUGCUUGUUCAUACAGAACCAAUGAUAGAUGCUGCCAACACUCUUCCCAGCAAUCUGAGUUCUGAGCUCACAAAUAAGCUUAGGGAGAUCAUCAAGGAAAUGAUCCACAACAUAAAUGAAAGGGAUCAAAUUCACUUUCAAUCUGCCCGGAAGCACAAGGAAGAAUUUAUCCUUCUACAGCAGACUCAGGAAACUCAAAACAAACUUGUUAUGGAAAGCCUGUCAAGCCUACGAUCUUCCAUUAAAGAAUUCUAAGAAUACUCUAUAAGUUAAAUAUAACAAACAGACACUAUCUUGGCCAUUCUACAAAAGCACAAGUCUCAAACUGAUUCUCUGGUUCAAGAAAAUCGUAAAGACAUUGCUCAAUCCAGGAAUCAGCUCCACGAACUUGUCCAAGGCAUGAAUCGUCUGUCAGAAGACAUUCGAACCCUUGAUGCUAAAAUAAAGGGGGAGAAUAAAGGGGAAGGAGAGAAAGGCAAAAGAAGAGGAAAACAAAUUGCUCAAUCUUCAAGGAGUCCUCCCACAAGACGGUCUCACUAUCAAACUCCAAGACCUGAAUAGCAGCAACACCAACCAAUUCUCAUGGCACAACCGCUAAGGAGUCAAGGGCCAUCUCCUAGCUCACAAGGGGUAACAACUACUGGCUUAAACAUGUCGAUUGGAGAUCUUGCCUUUAUGAAUAGACAUGAUAUUGGAGAAAGGCUAAGUCAAAGUGAGAUGGGAGAUAUUGUGUGGAGAGACGAAGCCAGCUGGAGAAUGAGAGCUGUAGAAUAUGCCAAUCCUCCAAGGGACAAGAGGCAGAAGAAAUAGAGAUAAGUUGAAAAUUAUUUCUGAUUGAUGUAACUAUGCUUUAUUGUAAUAUCUGCUUUUAGAAACAUCAAUAAAUUCAUGAUUAUUCUCUAGAGAUUUCAGCUGCUCACUGAAACACCAAGUCAUAUUUACUUUCUAGCAUCCUGCAUUUAGAAAUUGAUGAUUAUGAUACAAAUCUCCUGGGUUAUGUCAACAUCAAAUAGGGGAAGAUUUUUGGAAAUUGCAUAUUAAAAUUUGAUGUUGAAAGUAAAUAAACAUGUUUAUAUGUAAAGUCCUUCAAGGAACACAUGUACAAGGACUUUGUGAUAGAUCAAAAAAUUGUUAGGUUUGAUCUGUGCUUAAUGGUUAUCAUUCUGUAAAUGAAUGUGUAGAAGAAAAGAUCAAAACUAUUAGGUUGAUCUUGUUUGAGAUGUAAUAGAUAGGCAUCAACAGGAUCAUAGUUUGUUGAGCCAGUCAAGAGUUUGCAGAAGCCAAGGCAGAAUCUUAGAGUAUCGAGAAAGUUGCUAAAGAAUCGUAGUCUACUUUGAAGAGCCUCUCUCUGAAUCGUAGAGUUAGUCCAAGCGCUUGCCAAGCCAAGUCAAGAAUCGUAGUCUGCUCUCGGAAGUGUAGAAUCUGCAAAACAAGCAAGUAAAGAUCGUAGUCCACCUGUGCUUAAGAGAAAUCGUAGUGUUCUCUUUAUCAGGCUGAAUCAAGCAUGAAUAUAUAUGACAAGACACCACGAUCAUGAUCGUAGUGUAUCUCCUGUCAGCAUCAGAAGCAUCAAGCCUUGUCCAUUUGUUGAAAAAUAAAAUAUAACAAAUGAGGAAUGAAUUAUAGACGUUGAGGCUUUCGGGAAUCCCAAUGACCCAACACUCAUCCUUAGUAUAUAUCGAAGAAACGUAUUGAAGAAGCUAAGGAAAUUACUACAUACCUGUUGAAAACACCUUUUCAGGUGUUAGGUGAGAUAGUGUUGUGUCAGAGGGUCAGACGACUGAACAUAAAAUUUCAAGAAAGUCACCAUCGGUGCUUAGAAAUGUCUGAUGCAUUUAAUGCUUCAAUGGAUGCCUUCAAAUGGACAUAUUUUAAAGGCUCCUUUAUAUAUACAAAUCAAACACAGAUGUAAAAUGCAAGCAAGUACACAACAAAAAGCUGAAGAACACUCAAAGCUAAACUCUACGAUCUAGAAAGAAAGCUUGCUCAGCUGCUCAGUUCUUUCGAACAUAUGCUUAAUAGCAACUGAGUAGCACAACCCAAGAACUCAACUCUCAUAAAGUGAACUAAGAAGUUCAAAAUUUGAUGGACUUGAAGAGUUCUAAGUGAACUAAGAAGUUCCAAGACUGUUGGUCUUGAACGAAUCUGAGUGAUUCAAAGAUUGUAAAGACAUCUUUAGUGAAUUUUCUACUCGAGGGGUAGAAGAGUGGACUAGGAGCCUUGAGUGCUCUGAACCACUUAAAAUCACUUUGUCUUUUAUAUUCUUGUUAUAACUGUUAUAUCUAUCAUAAAUGCUUACCUAUUAACUUGGUUUAUUUUAAAGGGGAACACACAAAUCAUAUAUUCCGCUGUGGUUAAUUUAUUAACAAAUCUGACAAAGUAUUUUAAAAAAGAAAAUUUUAAAAUAUCUAUUCAACCCCCCUUCUAGAUAGCUAUAGUGUAUUUGGGAACUAACAAAUAUGUUAAUAAAAUAAAACAAAAUAAAACUUAGACCAUUUAAUUGAAGUUUUAAGUAAGCAGCCUGUCAACAUUUAUGAUAAGUAAUACAUUCUAAUAUAAAUUCACCAUAUCUGAACAUUAUCAUAGAGUUCAAACAAUGAGACAACAAGAAGUAUUAACUUUCUCAUCUCACCUUUGCUGGAAAAGAGGUGUCAAGUAUUCCAUUAAUAUUAAUAAUUGAUGUCAAGAGAUUAAGCUAAAUAAAAGCAGUCUGCCAAUACAACGUAACGACUGCUUGACCCCAUUGUAGCAUUACUUCAAUUGUUACAGACUAAUCCCAUCAAUGCAAUAAUGAGUGAAAAACUUUGAAACAUAACAAACAACAAAAGCAUUUCCUAAAUUCAAUAUAACGUGUACACAUUAUGGGGUAACAAAGCUUUGAAACAUAACAACCAACAAUAAAGCAUUAAGAACCUACUGAGUAAUUAGAGACAACCACAACCUUGAGUCCAGUCUGAUAAGAAAAUUUCUUUGCCUCCUCAUGUAUGUACCCAAAAAGACAAAAGAAAUCAAUCAACUAUAAUAAACUAUAAGCAAAACACACAAACCAAAAUGCGAUUAUAACAUAUUCUACCUGACAAAAUAAUUCUCAAGUUGGAGACAAUAUAAGAGCAAGUGGGUAAGAUAAUUUAAUUUGGCUACUCGGCACCGGUGACAAAUCCUGUCUCAGAAUCCCACUAAUGAUCGAAAAAUAAAACGCUGCUGUUUUACUAAACUCAGUUUGAGCACAAGCCAUGAACCCCCAAUUACAAUCAUUCUCACAUCAACAGACCUCCUCAAUUUGUAAUUUUUAAUAUAUAACAUAAGGAAAUUUAGAAAUGACUUAUCAAAGUAAUUAAAUCAAACUAAUUACUAUAUUUCACAUUAUAUAAAUCAAUCUAAUUUCAUCAUUUUCAUGCUUUCUAACAAAUCAAUUUAGUAACAAAUUUUCAUGCUUUCUAACAAAUCAAUUUAGUAAGUUGUGUUUGUGGAUCAACCUAUAAAACAAUAUCGUGUGAUUAGUUUACUUGUCCAUCUUAGCCUCAAACAAAAAAGGAACGUCCAUAACAAAAGUGCGAGUAGCCUUCAAGUAUGCAAUUGUCAAAAUUCAAGACUUUAAAGUAUAUAUAUUGGCCACAUGUUAUUGGUUGCAAUUCUCAGUUAGGGGUUAGUUGAAGUAAGCACUAUAUAUACUGGAAGGGAAUAUAUGCAUACAUCAUACAUACAAAGUAAGAUAUUUUUUGGCUAUCCAUUAAAAAGCGGCUUCCGCAUUGAAUCCCUCUUUUCUAGAGGUCUCAAAGUAAGGUAUGUUUCCCUUGGAGGCACACCAUGCCCUUGCUUUCUUCUCAAAAACCUAUUUUUAGAAGAGAAGACACAUGCACCCAAUAACUACUAAGAACUGACAGAGCAUCAUACGAGGAAGCUAAAGCAAGUUGAAAUGAAGAAAUAUCAAUUCACCACUUGACUAUUGUCACCAUCAACAUCUAUUUUGUUCCCCAACACAAUAAAUGAAAAAAUUUCAUGUUCAGCAUGGCUGACCUGAAAUUCUAAUAGCAAUUACUCUUCAAGAAUCAAACAUCUAGCCACAUAAUUUAUAUAAAGAUCUCAUCUUGUGUGUAUAAACAUACACACUCAAUAUGUCAAAGUUCAUGACCUUAAUAUUAUCAAAUAUAAUAAUAAUAAUAAUGCUCCCUAAACAUGAAUUAAGUUUAUUAGGAAAUUUUCAAAAAAAGUGUCCACUUAUGAAAUUAGAGUACCAAAUUCGCUAGAUAUCUUGGUCAUUAAUCAUGUAUGUAUAUAACAUGAAUAAGCAACUCCAUAAACAGUUGAAUUGAAAAAAUUGUAGGAAAAUAUGAAGUUUAAUAGCUUAGAAAUACUUAAAACAUAACCUAGCAAAGAAAAAUAAAAACAAAAUUAAAUCAAAAAUUAGGGUUUGAAAAAUGAAUUUACCUCCUCAAUAAAAUGUUCAGAUGAGUAUCAUGAAAUCCAAAAUGAUUUGCAUAAUCAAUAGAGAGUAUUUAUCUAAAAUGAUUUGUUCCUCUAUUGUAACUUUAAAUACUCAAAUUGAAAACUAACCUUUAAUUAGAUGUAACGUACAAUCCCAAUGGAGGAAAAGGUGAACAAAUCAACCGCCGUCAUCGCCAAAAAAUAAUGUUACCUUCGAAAAUUAGGGUUUUGUAUUUCAAAAUUAGGGAUAAAGUGAGAGAAUAGAUAAGAGGGGAAAGAAAGAGGAGAGGGAUGAGGAGGAAGAGGGUUGUGAGUGAGUGGAGAGGCAGAUGGGAGGAAGAGAGCGAUGGAAUUCUGCGUUAGUUUUCUUUUUCUUUUAAUCGUUCCUGCUCCUGAGUAAUUAAAAAUGUACUUUUAAUAAUACCAACGAAAAU